AUCGUUUCCACUGCGUCGUCACCUUCUCUGCCCACUCUAAAGGGAAUGAAAUAAAUCCUCGGAGCCGAAAGUUAAGGAUUUCCUGUAAAGGAGAAACCUUGCGGCCAACUGAGGCGAUAUCUUGGGGGAAUCUUCUUCCUCUGUGAGCUAGGGUUUCGACGUGAGGGGGCAGUUCCCUUCUACCGCCCCUUCUCUUUUGUUGAUUUGACAAAGAGGGAUCAUAUUGCUUAUUUCCCCCCUUCAAGCUGUAGAGAUGGAUUAGCUGAGGCGGCCCGUAAAUCGAUUUUUCGGCGAUUUGAGGGGGUAUAGAUCGUUUUAGCUAAAAAAAGUCGUUUUUUAGCUGGAAAAAAAUGGUUCGGAGACCUGAACUGAGGGGUCCCGAUGGAGUUUCGAUCGUUCGCGCCGAGAGAGCUGUGGAUGCAGCAUUACAGCACCUCGGAUUUGCCUUUUCUGGGAUCUGAAAGGAAAUUGGUUCGGUUUGGAUCUCCGAGCAAGCUCACAUGGAUGAUUUCACGCCCACGAAUUAUGGGGCGAGCGGGAGUCCGAGUCAAGACGAUCCAUUUUCCCUGGCGGAGCUCAUGAAUUUUGAUGGUUUUGCUGAAUCCUGCAGUCCUACGAUGGUAGACCAGAUUUCUAAUUUAAGCUUUAUAGCUGCUUAUCAAAUACCUGGUUUUUCAUCUUCAUUGGCACCACUGAGUGUUUCAGCAGAAGGUACGGAUUCCGUUCCUGGAGAUAAUAGGGUCUCAACUGGUAAUUAUUAUAACUGCAUCGAAAAGACGGCUUUGCAAAGAGCUGGUUCACAAAUGGGGCUUCCGUCGACUUCCUCCAGAACUAAUAUUACUAGUAGGAGUGCUAGUUAUUCCGCCUUUGAUGGCCUGUCUGAUGAUGCGAUCUUGACUAUUCCUAGACCUUUUGAAGGGGUGUCUCUUCCAGAAAGAAUGCUUAAGGCACUGUCCUUGCUAAAGGAAUCGUCAUGUAGUGGAAUACUUGCCCAGGUUUGGAGGCCCAUUAAACAGGGUGACCAGUAUAUUUUAAGUACCUCUGAACAGCCAUUUCUCCUUGACGAAAUUCUUGCUGGGUACCGUGAAGUUUCAAGGCAGUUUACCUUUUCUGCUAAGGAAGCACCUGGUUUGUUUACUGGGCUCCCCGGGCGUGUAUAUAUCUCCGGAAUGCCAGAGUGGACCUCGAAUGUUAUCUAUUACAGAAAGUUCGAGUAUUUGAGAGUGGACUAUGCAAUCAGUCAUGAAGUCCGUGGAUCUCUUGCGGUGCCUGUUUUUGAUCCUUAUGAAGGUUCUUGUCUUGCUGUGCUUGAGCUUGUUACAACAAGGGAGAGACCCAACUUCGACGCAGAGAUGGAAACUGUUUGCAAUGCUUUGCAGGCUGUAAACUUGAAGACCACAAAAGUGCAGGUUCAUCAUCAGAACCUCACGAAGAGUCAGAUUUCUGCAUUUUCGGAGAUACUUGAUGUUUUGAGAACUGUUUGUCAUGCACACAUGUUACCUCUGGCACUUACAUGGGUACCUGUUUGGUAUGAUGAUGGAGGUGUAAAUGACUUGAGCAAUGAUAACAUUGGGGGGAUGAAGCCAACUUCAAGAAGGCUUGCCCUUCGCAUUCAAGAAUCAGCUUGCUAUGUUAAUGAUAUGCAGAUGCAAGAUUUUCUUCAUGCAUGCGCUGAACAUCGCCUUGAGAAGGGACAAGGCAUUGCUGGAAAGGCACUUCAAUCCAAUCAUCCAUUCUUCUCCCCUGAUGUAAAAGUAUAUGAUAUACGUGAAUAUCCACUUGCACACCAUGCUCGUAAGUUCGACCUUCGUGCUGCAGUUGCAAUCAGGUUGAGGAGCACAUACACUGGAAAUGAUGAUUACAUACUAGAAUUCUUUCUACCAGUCAACUGUGGAGGCAACAUAGAACAACAGCUAUUAUUAAAUAGCCUCUCAAAUACCAUGCAGAGAAUUUGUAGGAGCUUGAGAACUGUCUCAGAUGCUGCAGCAGCUGGGGCAGAGAUCACCAGAAUAGGUAAUCAUAAAGGAGCAGAUGUAGGUGCCUUGUCGACUAAUUUUUCAAUGACGUGCUCUCAACUAUCAGAUUACGACAAUGAAACGGCUACUGAGAUGCAUCUUGGAACUCAGGAGAUUGGAUCCAAUGAACAAAAUGGAGAUGCUCAUCUUGAGCAGUUAUCAUCUAGCUCAAUAAAACAAAUGGAGAAAAAACGCAGUACAGCUGAGAAAAAUAUUAAUUUUAGUGUUCUUCAACGAUACUUUUCUGGGAGUCUCAAGGAUGCUGCAAAAAGUAUUGGUGUUUGUCCGACAACAUUGAAAAGGAUAUGUAGACAGCAUGGAAUUUCAAGAUGGCCAUCUCGCAAGAUAAAUAAGGUCAAUCGUUCAUUGCAGAAAAUCCAAAAUGUUAUAAAUUCUGUCCAAGGAGUUGAAGGGGCUCUAAAGUAUGAUCCUUCUACUGGGUGCCUUGUUGCAGCAGUCUCCUCACCGGAAAAACCAUCAUUAAUAACCUUUGAGCCAAAAGGUCAAGAUCUUAUGACUGCCCCUUCUGCUCACCAUAUUGAGACAGAACAGCCUGUUGGUAAGAUGGUGCCAGAUUUCUAUUUCCUUGGCAGACACCAAAGAGGGACCACACACCGAUCCAAAUGUGAAACAGAUGAAGUUGGUAUGCUUUCAAAUGAUUGUAGCAGACAGUUGAACUUUAUUUGUGCAGAUGGAGGGCAGUUGUCAUAUGCUACAAUGCAAGGUGCACCAAAAUGGCCAUCAUAUUCUAAAGAUGUAUCUGACAGUUCAUAUAUUUCAAAAGAAGCAGGUUGCCAAGGUGGCCAAGAUGGCUUAAGUUUGGCAAGCCUUGAGUGUCAGGUUACAUCAAGAAGCUCAAGUUUAGAAGAAUUGGAUAAAAUGAUGAUGAAAGCAGAAGCUGAUGAUGGAAUCAUGGAACACAGCCAUCGUUCUUCUUCUGGUAUGACGGACUCUUCUAGUGGAAGUGCAUCAAGUCAUCCUAGUUUCAAGAGAAGUAAGAUGUUAAUCUCACAAAAUGGCCCAUCUGUUACAGUAAAGGCUACCUACAAAGAUGACACUGUUAGAUUCAAGUUCAUGCCAUCCAUGGGUAUCCACAACUUGUUUGAGGAAAUUGGAAAGAGAUUCAAAUUGCUGGUAGGAACAUUCCAGCUCAAGUAUAGGGAUGAUGAAGAAGAGUGGGUAAUGUUGGAGAAUGACUCUGAUCUGCAGGAGUGUGUUGAUGUAUUAGAGAAUAUUGGAUUGCAGAAAAUGAAGCUUCAAGUACGAGAUAUCCCUUGUAAUGUUGGUAGCUCGGCCAGUAGUAACUGCCUUAAGCCUUGAAGCCUUGAGAGGAGUCUUGUUUCAAGGUGCUUCAACUGACUACUAUGGUUGAGGAAUUUGCAAAGAAUUUUCUCUCUGCAGGUUUUUUAUUAGACUUCUUUUUGGAGCUCAGGCAAUUUGAUCAGGAUUCAGGAACAGUAGGAACUCCCAAUGCUGGCAAAUUAUCAGAAGAGUCAAAUUCGAUAUCUGAGCCAGAAGUCUAGGGUGGAUGCAGUUCUUGAUGAUUCCCAGGUUUGGCGUGGCACCAUAAGGAUCUUAUGUUUCCAUUGAGUCUAUCCAGGUGAGGCCGGAUCAGUAGCACUGAUUUGAAAUCAAGUGGUCAAAAACUAAGAGCUUUAGUAAACAAUAGAUCGCGGGAGAUGCACAACAGUAUGAUCUUGGCAUUGUGGAAACAACCUCUGUACAAUCAGGGUGAAUUCGAUGGGCUCGCUUUUGGUCGGCUACUAAUAGUGCUUGAUUGAGCAGGAGUUUGUGCUCUUACAUGGUUAAUCAUUUUCAGAAAUGAAGAUGAAGAAAUUCAAAGCAGGUGGAUGCAACGAGUCCAUGCAAGUUGGCAUGUGAGCUGCAAUAAUGUAUGCAGCCUGGACUGCUUGGAUGUGCAGAAGAAAGGGGUAAAGCCAGGAAACACUGCUCUUUUUGACCAGUCUCAAGCUUCGCCUUCUGCAUGGGUUGCUGCCUUCCCUGCUUCCGAUCACAAAGGCAGCUUAUAAAACUAGAGAUAGCAGGUUCUCCUACAUGCAAAUGAACAGUUACAGAGGUGACGGAGAUGAUGAUACAAACAGAAGCAACAAAAAAAUGUCUAAUAUUCUUCUUUUUGUCUUAGGGAAAAAUGGUGGUAGAAGAGAGGUCUCAAAACCUCUCCAAAGUUUGGCACAUCCUUCCUAGUCCAAAUUCCUAUAUGGUAUGGUGGCCAUGCAUUAUUAUUACAGUGUGUGCAAGACCAAAUUAGGAAGUAUCCUGCAAUAUGACUCAGAAUAUCUGCAAUGAGAAUAUGAUGUCACUGGAUGUAAGAUCACAGCUUGUGAAUCAACAAAGGAUCUUGCAUUGUUGAUCUCUGUAUCCUUGUUUUAACCAGUAACAUGAAUUGUAUGUUAUACUGGCUUGUCCUUAGCUGCUACUGUGUCCAAGUGCAAGUCUACAAUUAUCUGUUCCACCUUAAAUCUUUUCCUAAUCCCAUUUCAAGCAUCCUGGAGUUCAUCAACAUCAUCAUCAAACUCAUAA
RNA transcript from Musa acuminata subsp. malaccensis (wild Malaysian banana), 4556 nucleotides. It is a transcript of the gene named protein NLP2, with no coding region annotated. The record is from RefSeq and is a predicted model, not a curated record. Lineage: Eukaryota; Viridiplantae; Streptophyta; Magnoliopsida; Zingiberales; Musaceae.